This 440-nucleotide ribosomal RNA is filed under the name uncultured bacterium. RNAcentral describes it as "partial 16S ribosomal RNA". It matches the Rfam family "Bacterial small subunit ribosomal RNA", at positions 338 to 795 of the family's 1533-position model. The record is from RNAcentral.
CCUACGGGCGGCAGCAGUGGGGGAUAUUGCACAAUGGGGGGAACCCUGAUGCAGCGACGCCGCGUGGGUGAAGAAGCGCCUCGGCGCGUAAAGCUCUGUCAGCAGGGAAGAAAAUGACGGUACCUGAAUAAGAAGCCCCGGCUAACUACGUGCCAGCAGCCGCGGUAAUACGUAGGGGGCAAGCGUUAUCCGGAUUUACUGGGUGUAAAGGGGGCGGAGACGGUUCGGCAAGCCAGAAGUGAAAGCCCGGGGCUCAACCCCGGGACUGCAUUUGAAACUGCGUAACUAGAGUGCAGGAGGGGAAAGCGGAAGUCCUGGUGUAGCGGUGAAAUGCGUAGAUAUCAGGAGGAACACCAGUGGCGAAGGCGGCCUGCUGGACUGCAACUGACGCUGAGGCCCGAAAGCGUGGGGAGCAAACAGGAUUAGAUACCCUUGUAGUC